UUCGCAAUGCCCGAAAGGGUGACGAAGCGACGCCGCGUGUGGGAAGAAGGCCUUCGGGUUGUAAACCACUGUCGGGAGUUAGGAAAUGUAAGGGUGCUAAUAGUAUCCUCACUUGACUAAGGCUCCGGAGGAAGCCACGGCUAACUCUGUGCCAGCAGCCGCGGUAAUACAGAGGCGGCAAGCGUUGUUCGGAAUUAUUGGGCGUAAAGAGCACGUAGGCGGCCUUGUAAGUCAGUUGUGAAAGCCUUCUGCUUAACGGAAGAACAGCAGCUGAUACUGCAAGGCUAGAGUGCGGAAGGGGAGAGUGGAACUUCUGGUGGAGCGGUGAAAUGCGUAGAUAUCAGAAGGAACACCGGCGGCGAAGGCGACUCUCUGGUCCGUAACUGACGCUGAGCGUGCGAAAGCUAGGGGAGCAAACGGGAUUAGAUACCCCGGUAGUCCUAGCCGUAAACGAUGGGCACUAAGUAGAGGGGUUUUA
RNAcentral lists this ribosomal RNA (478 nucleotides) under uncultured Planctomycetales bacterium. RNAcentral's name for it is "bacterial SSU rRNA". It matches the Rfam family "Bacterial small subunit ribosomal RNA", at positions 365 to 833 of the family's 1533-position model. Lineage: Bacteria; Pseudomonadati; Planctomycetota; Planctomycetia; Planctomycetales. The record is from RNAcentral.